UUCGUCCUUUCUAGGAGCGUCAUAGUGACUCAAUAGGGACAUACGGGGGCAUCAGUAGUGCAUCGUCAGACGAUGUAAUCUGUGGGAUAUAUUGUAGGACCAGCUGCAGCGAAAGCAUUGCGCAAGCAUGUUGUUCAAUGAUCUGUGAAUGAAACAUGAGGGAUCGAAGGGGAUCAGAAGACCGUCGUAGUCUGUCCGUAUAUUAUGCCGAAUAGGGAUCGGGCGAGGAUCGGACUGUGUUUCUCUCGGCACCUUACGCGAAAUAAAAGUAAUCAAAUUCCUGGGGGAGCAUGGUGACAAGGCUGACACGUAAAGAAAUUGACGGAAGUGCACCAACAGCCGCGGCACCUGCGGCUUAAUCUGCCUCAUCACGGUGAACCUCACCAGGUCCAGCUGAAGUAAGGACUGUCAGGAUGAGAGCUCUGUCAUGUUUUUUCAGGUGGUGGUGCAUGGCCGUUCUUAGCGGUUGGAGUGAUUGGUCUGCCUAACCGCGAUAACGAACGAGACCUUAGCGUGCUAAAUAUCCAGACUAGCUUUCACUGGUCCCCCACUUCUUAGAGGGACUAUCGGCUCAAGCCGAUGGAAGUGAGAGGCAAUAACAGGUCUGUGAUGUCCUUAGAUGUUUUGGACCGCACGCGCGCUACACUGACAGAGCCAACGAGUUCUUCGCCUCCCCGAAAGGUCUGGGUAAUCUUCUAAACUGUGUCGUGCUGGGGAUAGAUCAUGCCAAUUAAUUCUCUUCAUCGAGGAAGGCAUAGUAAGCGCGUGCCAUCCGCAAGCGUUGAUUGCGUCCCUGCCCUUCCUACUCACCCCCCGUC
This 818-nucleotide ribosomal RNA is filed under the name uncultured fungus. RNAcentral describes it as "bacterial SSU rRNA". It matches the Rfam family "Eukaryotic small subunit ribosomal RNA", at positions 841 to 1677 of the family's 1831-position model. Lineage: Eukaryota; Fungi. The record is from RNAcentral.